Radiomyces spectabilis is the source of this 83-nucleotide non-coding RNA. The record is from the annotation of a RefSeq genome assembly. Lineage: Eukaryota; Fungi; Mucoromycota; Mucoromycetes; Mucorales; Radiomycetaceae.
CCGGCUUUAGCUCAGUUGGUAGAGCGGAAGACUGUAGUGCUAUAGGAAUCUUUAGGUCGCUAGUUCGAAUCUGGCAAGCCGGA